Corapipo altera (White-ruffed manakin) is the source of this 270-nucleotide long non-coding RNA. RefSeq lists it as uncharacterized. The record is from RefSeq and is a predicted model, not a curated record. The transcript is spliced from 3 exons. Lineage: Eukaryota; Metazoa; Chordata; Aves; Passeriformes; Pipridae.
GCUUUGAUACCUGAGCUGAUGUCAUAUGAUAUGGAAUAUCCCUUUGGUCAGUUUGGGUCAGCUUUGGCCUGCUUGGGUCCCUUCCUAGGAUCUUGCCCUUGAUUGAGGAAGGAAUGUUACAGUGCUGAUGCUGUGCUGAGCAGUAGCCAAAACACUGAAGGACUCCAUGUAAGCACGAUUUCUGAUGUCUCCUUAAUGAAGAGACCAGUCAUUGCUGAAGAUAUUGAAGAUUAGAAGAAGAGACAUCACAGAGAUUUCAUUUAUUCCAGU